Molecule: ribosomal RNA, 273 nt
Filed under: uncultured bacterium
Lineage: Bacteria
Description: partial 16S ribosomal RNA
Rfam family: Bacterial small subunit ribosomal RNA
Source: RNAcentral
UACGUAGGGUCCGAGCGUUGUCCGGAAUUAUUGGGCGUAAAGGGCUCGUAGGCGGUUUGUCGCGUCGGGAGUGAAAACCAGGUGCUUAACAUCUGGCUUGCUUUCGAUACGGGCAGACUAGAGGCAUGCAGGGGAGAACGGAAUUCCUGGUGUAGCGGUGAAAUGCGCAGAUAUCAGGAGGAACACCGGUGGCGAAGGCGGUUCUCUGGGCAUGUCCUGACGCUGAGGAGCGAAAGUGUGGGGAGCGAACAGGAUUAGAAACCCUUGUAGUCC